GCCGCUAUGGUGAAAUUGGUAGACACGCUGCUCUUAGGAAGCAGUGCUAAUGCAUCUCGGUUCGAAUCCGAGUGGCGGCA
This 80-nucleotide transfer RNA is filed under the name Apopellia endiviifolia. RNAcentral's name for it is "tRNA-Leu". It matches the Rfam family "tRNA". Rfam says of the family: Transfer RNA (tRNA) molecules are approximately 80 nucleotides in length. Their secondary structure includes four short double-helical elements and three loops (D, anti-codon, and T loops). The record is from RNAcentral. Lineage: Eukaryota; Viridiplantae; Streptophyta; Jungermanniopsida; Pelliales; Pelliaceae.